This 623-nucleotide long non-coding RNA is filed under the name Mus musculus (house mouse). Its description in RNAcentral is "predicted gene, 49548". The record is from RNAcentral. Lineage: Eukaryota; Metazoa; Chordata; Mammalia; Rodentia; Muridae.
CCUGGGUCAGCUGCACCAGGAACAGCCUCCGCUCGGGCUUGAGGUCUCAAAGGCGUUCCUGGGCACACACAAGGUCGAGAUGCUGUGUCGGCCGCUGGCUCCUCCUGUUUACCCGCUGGAGGGACAGGGCUGUCAACACGUUCUCAUUGGAUUCUAGAUGCUUGCGGGCCUGGCGGGUGCAGAGCCAGUGGAGGACAAAGCAUAGUGGACCGUUGCUCAGUUGGUCUGUGAUUCGGAUGUGCAAACCACAUAAAUAAACCCUUUCCUCCCUGCGCUGCUGUUGGCCAGUAUUUUCUUACACUAGAGAGAAAACUGGGGCGUUUCUUUUUCCUGCACAAGGUGUUUUUUGCUUCCCUAUAACUCCCAAAGUCUGCAGUGUGAUACACCAUGGACAGGAAAGUGCUGUGCGGCACCAACCCAAAUGGUAUGUGGGCUUCAGGAACACUGCCCCCCCACAAUGGUAAGAAAUUACAGGGAAGCAAGCCUCUGCCAUCUCCGAGGGUGGGGCUUUGGUCAUCAGCCUACAUCAGUAUACUUCAUGCCAGCCCCUCAGCUCAAGUCUCCAGUGUGUCCCAAAGCUGACCCUUCUGAACAGCCAGCCGAGGAGCUAUGAAGAAGAACGU